This 416-nucleotide long non-coding RNA is filed under the name Arachis ipaensis. RNAcentral's name for it is "long non-coding RNA (AIPA_LNC002193)". Lineage: Eukaryota; Viridiplantae; Streptophyta; Magnoliopsida; Fabales; Fabaceae. The record is from RNAcentral.
UUAAUAUUGACUUUUGCACUUGUGCUACCCUUCAAUACUCCAAAAGCUCCAAAGGAGCACGUCCCUGUCUGCAAGCCUGAUGAAAAAAACAUAUCGCUGCAAGGGUACCCUCCGCCAUGCAUACCGAGGCCACCAGUACUUGGCAGUUCUUCCCCGUCUAUCGAUCAUGAACAGGACACCAAAUAUAACAACACAACUCGUAACUGAUAAACGACCAACCCUCCUCAGUCAUCAUACAACAAAUAUUUCUUGAAUUUUAUUUAUAAGGAUAUUGCAAAGUCGUAUGUAUUAUUGUCUCCAAUUAGAUAUGAUAUUACUAUUAGGAUCUAUUUGGGCGAUUACGGAAUUUUAAGAUCAAGAAUAAAAGUCACCAUUAUGCUGAGCUUCUUUUUAUUCAAAAAAAAUUAUUUAUGCGU